This 459-nucleotide ribosomal RNA is filed under the name uncultured bacterium. Its description in RNAcentral is "partial 16S ribosomal RNA". It matches the Rfam family "Bacterial small subunit ribosomal RNA", at positions 338 to 795 of the family's 1533-position model. The record is from RNAcentral.
CCUACGGGAGGCAGCAGUGAGGAAUAUUGGUCAAUGGCCGAGAGGCUGAACCAGCCAAGUCGCGUGAGGGAAGACGGCCCUACGGGUUGUAAACCUCUUUUGUCGGGGAGCAAAGCGAACCACGUGUGGUUCAUUGAGAGUACCCGAAGAAAAAGCAUCGGCUAACUCCGUGCCAGCAGCCGCGGUAAUACGGAGGAUGCGAGCGUUAUCCGGAUUUAUUGGGUUUAAAGGGUGCGUAGGCGGAUUAGUAAGUCAGCGGUAAAAAUGCGGUGCUCAACGCCGUAUCGCCGUUGAAACUGCGGGUCUUGAGUGAGCGAGAAGUAUGCGGAAUGCGUGGUGUAGCGGUGAAAUGCAUAGAUAUCACGCAGAACUCCGAUUGCGAAGGCAGCAUACCGGCGCUCAACUGACGCUGAGGCACGAAAGCGUGGGGAUCGAACAGGAUUAGAUACCCGGGUAGUC